RNAcentral lists this ribosomal RNA (264 nucleotides) under uncultured archaeon. RNAcentral describes it as "partial 16S ribosomal RNA". It matches the Rfam family "Archaeal small subunit ribosomal RNA", at positions 717 to 982 of the family's 1478-position model. The record is from RNAcentral.
AGUCACUGACAUUAGAUACCCGUGUAGUCCCAGCCCUAAACGAUGCGCGUUAGGUGUAUCGGUGACCACGAGUCACCGAGGUGCCGAAGGGAAACCGUGAAACGUGCCGCCUGGGAAGUACGGUCGCAAGGCUGAAACUUAAAGGAAUUGCGGGGGAGCACAACAACGGGUGGAGCUUGCGGUUUAAUUGGAUUCAACGCCGGAAAUCUUACCGGGACCGACAGCAACAUGAAGGCCAAGCUGAAGACUUUGCCGGAUUAGCUG